UGGCAGUGAUGGUGAAAAGCUUGUGGACACUCGUCACAGCACACCAGAUUUCCCGCCGAGUCACAAAUGUAGCACACGUCACGUAAAAUCUUGUGCUCACAUGACUUAUUUUGUUCUGCAGGAUCCCGGUAUACUUGGAGAUUUACCUGUAUAAGUUCAUGCAGUGUAAUGUUUUCGCAGCGGAUGGUGAGUUUCCAGUUCUUGCUUUUUUCCCUUUCUGAAAAUCUCUCAAAGUCACCUGGGGUGAACCAGACGCCGCCGGACAAAAUACACAUCUCUCCUGUAGGAACAAAACUUUAUUUAAAUUCCAAUUUAAAAAACAAACUAUACUGGCAAAUUCCUUCUGACACCACUCAACUUUAUUUCUCUAUGAGAAUGAAGUAUGACUACGUGGCUUUUUUCGUUAAAAACAUAACAGCUUUUGUUUUUUGGCCCAUCAAGGUCUCAUUAAUAAUGAUGUUUCAAGCUACAAUGGACUCUCAUGGUUCAGGACUUCCUUAGUAAAGUUUUCUUUCAUCAAGGUAAUAAAAAAAGUUCACUUAGAAAAACUCUUAGUGGUAAGAUAAGAUCUUUUUUGCUAUCCACCUUCCAUAUCUACACUGUAAAGAAUUGCUGUAAAUUUUACAACCUUGGUUUGCCUGUAAAGUACUGUGAAAUGUAGAGUAAACAUCUGUAAAUCAUUUAUAGUAAAGUACUGUAAUAUCUUAGAUAUUUUAAAAUAAAUCAUAUUCCAGCACAUUUGUCUGAUGCAGGAUAAAACUUACCUGAAAGUUAAGGUCUUGCUCAAGGACCCAACCAUGGCAGUGCUGGGAUUUGAACACACAACCUUCUGAUUUGUAACUCAAAGCCUUAAACACUGAAUCACCACAGCCAGCUCAACUAGCUUACUGUGCAUUGAUUCAACUGCUUCUACCACUGAAUUAACUCCACCAAAAGAUUGCAUUGAAUCAACACAGACUCAUUGAGCUAGUAGUGGUGGCACAGUUGUUAAGGCUUUGAGUUGUAGGUCAGAAGGUUGUGUGUUCAAAUCCCAGCACUGCCAAAUGGCUAUGUUGGGGCCCUUGAGCAAAACUCUUAAUAUUCAGUUCAUUCAUAUCCUGCAUCAGCCAAAUGAGCAAAUGUAUUGGAUGAUGUGUUGUUUUAUAUUGUGUAAGAUUGUACAGUUGUUACUACUCCAUUGUAGGGCACCAUCACACACAUUCACACACCCAUUCAUACACUACAACACCAGCCUACAGCGCAUGUCUUUGGACUGGGGGAGGAAACCAGAGUACCCGGAGGAAACCACUGAAGCACGGGGAGAUCAUGCAAACUCAGGGCUGCAGCACGAAUCGAACCCAGAUGGCAAUGGUUGGGUCCUUGAGCAAAACUCUUAAUAUUCAGUUCAGUCAUAUUUAUUCUGGCUCCAUCCAUCCAUCCAUUUUCUGUACCUCUCAUCCUUACUGGGUCAUGGGAACCUGUAGCCUAUCCCAGGGUGAUGCGAGAUGGUGAUCAUGGUCACUAAUCAUCCGGCCAUGUCCCUCGAUGGCUUGUGGCCAACGGGGAUCUCCCGCUGCUUCCAUUGGAAGGCGAAGUAUUCUGUCACGAACCUCAAAUUAGCACGGAAGCAGAAGCGGGCGGCAGGUGGAGAGCGUGGUAUUGGGAAUUUCAAGAAACGUAGUUGUAAGACAGGCAAUGGUCAAGCGAUCGGACGAACAACACAAAAGGGGUCAGGCAGAGAGCGUAGUCAAAACCGGAAACAAGGGUCGAGGAUAACGAGAAGACUAACUAACUAGAUCGGCCUGGUAACGCAGAGAAACAAGUUGACUGAACGUAUACUUCGCAUUGACUCUAGGUGAAUGACAUCCCUAAGUACUAGUGUGAGAGUGUGUGUGUGUGAUUGGUGCCAGGUGUGUCUGAUCAGAACUCCGGGGAUGGUGAGAAGGUGCGUGCAUGAGAAGUGAGUGUUGUAUCUUGGGAAAUUGAGUUCUGAUCUGACUGAGCUGUGACAAUCAUUAUCAUCUGUGUGUAGUUCACUACGUAACAGUUAUAAAGUGUCAUAUCUGUCCUGAGGGGGUCUGUGAAUUUAUUAUUAUUAUUAUUAUUAUUAUUAUUAUUAUUAUUAUUAUUAUUAUUUUGGUGCAAUUAAAGGCAUCCCUGCCUAUAAAAAGAUUGAGAGCCUCUACUGUACAUAGUGUGUGUAUAUAUAUAUCACGCUGCAUUUUGCAAAAAAACAGUCCUGUUUUCUGACAAAGUGUGUUGCACCAAUUACUAAAUCGAAGCCAUUUAAUUGAUACUUUUCAGUUAAAAUAAAUAAUAAAAUGACAAUAUAGUCUUUCAUUUGAUGCUCAUGUAGAUAAUAUUACUAGGAUAGCCUUCUUUCAUCUCAGAAAUAUUUCUAAGAUAAGAAAUAUAUUGUCACUACAUGAUGCAGAAAUAUUAGUUCAUGCUUUCAUCACCUCUAGACUAGAAUUUAGAUAAUUAUUUAAUAAUGGACACAUAGGGGAAUUAAAACUGUAUUGACUGACCUAAGCUGGUCUGGAGUGAGCGCAGAAAAGGAUAUUUCUGAAGGAUGUGAUCCUGAGACACACACCUCCAAAACUGCUUUAUACACCACCUCCCGGCUUCUCCACCCAGUCCAAAAUCUCAUACCCACCUUUCUACCUUCUGUUCUUACUUUUCAUCUUUAUUAGCUUCUACAGAAAGAAAGAGAGAGAGAAAGAGAGAGAGAGAGAGUGAGAGAGAGAGAGACAGAGACAGAGACAGAGAGAGACUGGUAACGUGUUGAUUUACUGAUGUACAUCAUUAAGUUCAUUUUACUUAAAUGACACAACACAAAAUAAUAAAAACACUGCCAUGAACAAGGGGCGUAGCUCUCUCACAGGUUCAUAUUACAGAGACUCUUUCAGGUUGCACAACUCUUUCAGGUUUUUUCGACAACAAUCAUUGCCCUGUUCAGGAUACCGGAGAAGUGUUUUACCUGCAUAAAAAAGUAGAAAGAUGUUCAGUGACCGAAUAUCUAUUCAGUUGGAUUUCACACCGCCGGAGGAGCUGAUUAAGUUUUUCCACUUGAACAAGGCGCAGAUUUCUUGCAUAGAUGAACCGCUCACCUUCCUCAACCAGCUCCGAGACCACAGUUUGGUACCUGAUGAACUCUACCAAGCAAGACAGCAAGAAAAAUAACAUUCUGUCAUUUGAAGAGCUUUUUUCUUUACAGUUGAAAGAAGGAAAUGGAUUGGCUUGACUUGUUUAAUCACACCUCUAGGGUAUAAACGUAUUUUACUGCACAGUGCUUGAUCAGUGUUUGAUCAGUGCUUGUUAACAGUGGUGGCUCUGUGGUUAAGACAUUGGGCUGUUGAUCAGAAGGUCAUGAGCUCAACCCCAUAACCACCAAGGCACCACUGUUGGGGCCCCUGAGCAAGGCCCUAACCCCUAAUUGCUCAGAUGUAUAAAUGAAAUAAAUGUAAGUCGCUCUGGAUGAAGGUGUCUGCCAAAUGCCAUAAAUGUAGUGAUUUUAAUAAUAAUAAUUAAAGUGCACAAACUGGAAAUUUGCAAAUUUAUGAUUUACGGCAAUUGUAAAAGUUUGUGCCAAAAGAAAGUAUUGGGAUCGGGAUUGGCGGGGUGUGAUGCAGAAAUCUAAACAAUCGUUUGUUUUGUUGUUGCACCCGACACAGGAUAAUGAGUUGGAAGUAAGCACAGGAGCGCUGUCUUUAUUAAUAACCCAAACAAACAAACAAACCACAGGCAGCGCGGUCUAUACGGAACUAGUGAGUAAACAUGAGACUAGAAUCGAGGCAGGAAACCGGACAUGACAACAAAGACCGCUUAGCAUGCUAAACCUAUAUCCUACACCGUUAACACUGAAAACUCUCACACGGGCAUCUAUGUUACAAAUAAUAAUACUCCAGUGAAGUGCGCGUGCACCCGAGGGGUUUAAAUACCCAACAUAAUUAAACUAAACCAAAGACACCUGGGUUAAAUCAAGGACAUCCUCAAACAGAAACUAAUACUCAGCCAGGAAGCGAAUCAAAACAAAACAAGCGUCACGCUGUGCUGCAGUGCCCUCUGCCGGCCAUGGCAUAACAGUUGUAUACAGGAUUUACAUUUAAGUGUACAUAAAAUGUAGGCAGAAGGAUGAAGUAGG
Ictalurus punctatus (channel catfish) is the source of this 4123-nucleotide long non-coding RNA. NCBI's taxonomy places the organism in Eukaryota, Metazoa, Chordata, Actinopteri, Siluriformes, Ictaluridae. The record is from Ensembl.